Molecule: long non-coding RNA, 837 nt
Organism: Vigna radiata var. radiata (mung bean)
Lineage: Eukaryota; Viridiplantae; Streptophyta; Magnoliopsida; Fabales; Fabaceae
Exons: 2
Source: RefSeq, a predicted model, not a curated record
UCCCUAAUAAGUGACCAAGUCAAUUGUUUCUAAGCCCAGAUCUCUUUCUCUUUCCGUUUCCAAUUGGGCUUGAAUAAAUGCAACCCAAUUAAGGGCCCAACUCUCAAUUUUUUUGGUAGGAGUCAGAUUCUCAGGGGCUCAUUUGGUUUUCUUUACUUUUCCUGAAACAUACACAUCAGAAGCGAAGCUUCUUUCCUUUCUCUUCUCCCUUUUCUUGCGAACAGCAGUGAGAAUGCAGUGAUGAGAGACGCGAUAAGGUUGCGGCGGAGGCGCGACGAUUGUGCGAGGACAUGGUCAUCCUGGCUUUUCUCGAUUCUCUUCGUGUUGGCUCGCAGGAAGGCGCGGCUAUUGCGCGGUGGAGGUGCAGGAAGGCGCGAUGAAGGCUCCUGCGUUCCGCGAAGAGAGACUCUACGUGUUGCAAUUAGGGUUUCGUUGGGGAUUUUGGAGUUUUCCUGUUCUCAUCUUCGAUUCUGAUUUUGGGGAUUUCUAGGAAUUCUUUUGAUUUGAGAUAUAAGGGCAGCAGCAACCGUUACGCGGUGGUUGGCAACGAAGUCGUGAUGGCUGCAGCUAGGUUGGCGGCGGCAAGCACUGUUGGUGGUGGCAAGCUAGGGUUUUGGUUUGGACUGGCAAUUUUUGGAUUCGAUUAACAGUUUGGGCCGCAGGCCCAAUGAGCAAAAACUUAACAUUUAACCAUAAUAAUCAGAAUUGCCAGGGACGUGUGCAAAAUUCAUAACUUUAAUUACUAAAAUUAAAGUGUAAAGGAAGAGAUGGUGUUAUUAUUUUAUAAUAUUAAUUCUUAUAAUUAUAAGAGGAAAAUUGUUAUUAUUUAAUUAGUAA